Molecule: ribosomal RNA, 403 nt
Filed under: uncultured bacterium
Lineage: Bacteria
Description: partial 16S ribosomal RNA
Rfam family: Bacterial small subunit ribosomal RNA
Source: RNAcentral
GACGAACGCUGGCGGCGUGCCUAAUACAUGCAAGUCGAACGCAGUGGGGACGGGUGAGUAACACGUGGGUAACCUCCCAUCAGAGGGGAUAAAACUUGGAAACAGGUGAAAACGCUAUACUGAUGGAUGGACCCUCGGUGCAUUAGCUAGGUGGGGAGGGAACGGCUCACCAAGGCAACGAUGCAUAGCGGACCGGGGAGGGUGAUGGGCACACCUGGGACUGAGACACGGCCCAGACUCCUACGGUAGGCAGCAGUAGGGAAUCUUCGGCAAUGGACGAAAGUCUGACCGAGCAACGCCGCGUGAGUGAAGAAGGUGUUCGGAUCGUAAAACUCUGUUGUUAGAGAAGCGGUAUCUAACCAGAAAGCCACGGCUAACUACGUGCCAGCAGCCGCGGUAAUAC